This 454-nucleotide long non-coding RNA is filed under the name Vigna radiata. Its description in RNAcentral is "long non-coding RNA (VRAD_LNC005723)". The record is from RNAcentral. Lineage: Eukaryota; Viridiplantae; Streptophyta; Magnoliopsida; Fabales; Fabaceae.
AAGAUGUUAAUUCCUAUGAUGAGUUAGCAUUGAAAAAGGCCGUUGCAAAUCAGCCCGUGAGCGUUGCUAUUGAAGGAGGAGGAAGGGAAUUUCAACUUUAUUCAUCUAUAAGUUUCCAAUCUGAUUUUAUUCAUGACCUGGAAAAGAAGGUGUGCCUAUUGCAUAGAAAGAAGUAGAAUAGGAAGAUCCAAAGUCUAAGUGAAAAACAUGUGGUUUAUUUUUUGCUUUUUAUUAGAACAUAAAAACUUUCACUCUCUCCCUAUUCAAUUUUAAACAAAAUUGGUUUUGCAAUGUUGACAUAAUUUUUUAAUCUGUAUAUUUCAUAUUUAUGAGGGUGUCUUCAGCGGAAGAUGUGGAACAGAUCUAGAUCAUGGUGUUGUGGCGGUUGGGUAUGGUACAGAAAACGGUCAUGAUUAUUGGAUUGUGAGAAAUUCAUGGGGUGCUGAUUGGGGAG